Molecule: unclassified non-coding RNA, 381 nt
Filed under: uncultured Alphaproteobacteria bacterium
Lineage: Bacteria; Pseudomonadati; Pseudomonadota; Alphaproteobacteria
Description: contains 16S-23S intergenic spacer region
Source: RNAcentral
UCCGGCUUAUCACCGGCAGUUCCGUUAAAGUGCCCAGCCCAACCUGAUGGCAACUAACGGCAAGGGUUGCGCUCGUUGCGGGACUUAACCCAACAUCUCACGACACGAGCUGACGACAGCCAUGCAGCACCUGUGUGGACGCCAGCCAAACUGAAGGAAAUCAUCUCUGAUCCCCAAACGUCCCAUGUCAAAAGCUGGUAAGGUUCUGCGCGUUGCUUCGAAUUAAACCACAUACUCCACCGCUUGUGCGGGUCCCCGUCAAUUCCUUUAAGUUUUAAUCUUGCGACCGUACUCCCCAGGCGGAAUGCUUAUCGCGUUAACUACGACACUGAAGGGUUGCCCCCCCAACAUCUAGCAUUCAUCGUUUACAGCGUGGACUAC